Molecule: ribosomal RNA, 255 nt
Filed under: uncultured bacterium
Lineage: Bacteria
Description: partial 16S ribosomal RNA
Rfam family: Bacterial small subunit ribosomal RNA
Source: RNAcentral
UACGGGGGGAGCAAGCGUUGUUCGGAUUUACUGGGCGUAAAGGGCGCGUAGGCGGUCGUGACAAGUCACUUGCUGAAAUCUCCGGGCUUAACUCGGAACGGUCAGGUGAUACUGUCGGACUAGAGUACAGAAGGGGCAACUGGAAUUCUCGGUGUAGCGGUGAAAUGCGUAGAUAUCGAGAGGAACACCUGCGGCGAAGGCGGGUUGCUGGGCUGAUACUGACGCUGAGGCGCGAAAGCCAGGGGAGCGAACGGG